GUGAAUCAUCAAAUUUUUGAACGAAAAUUGCACUCUCUGGUAUUCCGGAGAGUAUGGAUGUUUGAGGGUAAUUAAAAAGAAUCUUUAACCAAUUUUUUUGGUCAAAGGAUAUGAGUUCUCCGCGUUUAUAGCGGUAACUUGAAUUAAACGGUCAAGUCUCAUUUUAGUCGAGACGCGUAAUAAUAGUAUUUAGCGAAAUCUUUAUUAUGUGACUAUCAAGUUUUGACGUAUACAACUUUGGUUUGGUGGGGAUCAAUACAAAUAUUUUUGAACUUGA
RNAcentral lists this unclassified non-coding RNA (277 nucleotides) under Ambisporaceae sp. RNAcentral describes it as "partial contains 5.8S ribosomal RNA and internal transcribed spacer 2". The stretch from base 1 to 71 matches the Rfam family "5.8S ribosomal RNA", at positions 84 to 154 of the family's 154-position model. Lineage: Eukaryota; Fungi; Glomeromycota; Glomeromycetes; Archaeosporales; Ambisporaceae. The record is from RNAcentral.